GAUGAACGCUGGCGGCGUGCCUAAUACAUGCAAGUCGAGCGGAAAGGCCCUUCGGGGUACUCGAGCGGCGGACGGCUGAGUAACGCGUAGGAACGUACCCCAAAGUGAGGGAUAACUGCACGAAAGAGUAGCUAAUACCGCAUGUGCUCUUCGGAGUAAAGCUUCGGCGCUUUGGGAACGGCCUGCGUCCUAUUAGCUAGUUGGCGAGGUAAUUGCUCACCAAGGCGACGAUAGGUAGCUGGUCUGAGAGGAUGAUCAGCCAGACUGGGACUGAGACACGGCCCAGACUCCUACGGGAGGCAGCAGUAGGGAAUUUUCCACAAUGGGCGAAAGCCUGAUGGAGCAACGCCGCGUGCAGGAUGAAUGCCUUCGGGUUGUAAACUGCUUUUAUAGGUGAAGAAUAUGACGGUAACCUAUGAAUAAGGAUCGGCUAACUCCGUGCCAGCCGCCGCAGUAA
This 457-nucleotide ribosomal RNA is filed under the name uncultured bacterium. RNAcentral describes it as "partial 16S ribosomal RNA". It matches the Rfam family "Bacterial small subunit ribosomal RNA", at positions 28 to 523 of the family's 1533-position model. The record is from RNAcentral.